This 889-nucleotide ribosomal RNA is filed under the name uncultured organism. RNAcentral describes it as "bacterial SSU rRNA". It matches the Rfam family "Bacterial small subunit ribosomal RNA", at positions 538 to 1450 of the family's 1533-position model. The record is from RNAcentral.
GCGUUGUUCGGAAUUACUGGGCGUAAAGCGCACGUAGGCGGACUUUUAAGUCUGGGGUGAAAGCCCGGAGCUCAACUCCGGAACUGCCUUGGAUACUGGAAGUCUUGAGGAUGGAAGAGGUAAGUGGAAUACCGAGUGUAGAGGUGAAAUUCGUAGAUAUUCGGUGGAACACCAGUGGCGAAGGCGACUUACUGGUCCAUUUCUGACGCUGAGGUGCGAAGGUGUGGGGAGCAAACAGGAUUAGAUACCCUGGUAGUCCACACCGUAAACGAUGAGAGCUAGUUGUCGGCAGGUUUACCUGUCGGUGACGCAGCUAACGCAUUAAGCUCUCCGCCUGGGGAGUACGGCCGCAAGGUUAAAACUCAAAGAAAUUGACGGGGGCCCGCACAAGCGGUGGAGCAUGUGGUUUAGUUCGAAGCAACGCGCAGAACCUUACCCACGUUUGACAUGCCCGGCGGUGAACAGAGAUGGGAUCCAUUCCUUCGGGACCGGUGCACAGGUGCUGCAUGGCUGUCGUCAGCUCGUGUCGUGAGAUGUUGGGUUAAGUCCCGCAACGAGCGCAACCCUCACCCUUAGUUGCUAACAGGUUUGGCUGAGAACUCUAAGGGAACUGCCCGUGGCAAGCGGGAGGAAGGUGGGGAUGACGUCAAGUCCUCAUGGCCCUUACGCGUGGGGCUACACACGUGCUACAAUGGCAGUGACAAUGGGAUAAUCCCAAAAAGCUGUCUCAGUUCGAGUUGGGGUCUGCAACUCGACCCCAUGAAGUUGGAAUCGCUAGUAAUCGUGGAUCAGCAUGCCACGGUGAUACGUUCCCGGGCCUUGUACACACCGCCCGUCACACCAUGGGAGUUGGAUUUACCCGAAGGUGGUGCGCUAACCGUAAGGAGGC